RNAcentral lists this long non-coding RNA (518 nucleotides) under Gallus gallus (chicken). Lineage: Eukaryota; Metazoa; Chordata; Aves; Galliformes; Phasianidae. The record is from RNAcentral.
GGCCUUGUGGUUUUUCUUGGUUUUCUUCAGGAACUGUUUCAGGCUGCCCGAAGACACGUACUCUGUGAUGAAAAUGACCCGUGCCUUUGAGUCCUUCACAUCCAGCCAGUAUUUAUGGAGCUUCACGAUGUUGGGGUGGUCCACCAGCACCAGCUGCUCGAACAUGGUCUUGAUCUUCUCCUCGUGUGCUUUGAAGGCCUUCUUGUCAGUGAAGAGCAGCUCAUUCCACACCACCUCCACGCCUUCCUCCGUGUCCAUGGCGAGGAAGGUGCUUUGGAUGCCCGGCAUGUUCCCCUGAUUCACCUGCUCGCGGCGCUUCUGCCACCGCCCGCACGGGCUCUCCUCCAGGAUCUCGCUCUCCUCUUCGCUCUCCUCCUCCUUCUCCUGCGCCAAACGCGCGUCGGACUCCGGCACCGCCAUCCCCGCACCGCUCCGCUCCGGGGUGGACGGAUCGGACGGAUCGGGCUCAACCCUCCACCUCCCCCCCCCCCCCCUCCGACGUGCGGCCGCACACGGAC